GGGGCGGGGGGCGGGGCUCCAUCCAGUCCAUUCACGGAGAGUGCCCAAGUGCCUAUAGGGCCUGGCACUUGGUAAACAGUCCAUAAAUUUGAAUUUAAAAAUUGUUGGUUUGGGGCUCAGUGGUAAAGAACCCGCUUGCCAAUGCAGAUUACACGAGUUGGAUCCCUGAUCUGGGAAGGUCCCACAUGCCACAGAGCAGCCAUAUACCACGGAGCAGCCAUAUACCACAGAGCAGCCAUAUACAAUGGAGCAGCCAUAUACCACGGAGCAUGCCAUAUGCCACAACUAGUGCUCUAGAGCCUGGGAACCACAGCUACCGAAGCUGGCGUGCCCUAGAGCCCAUGCUCCAUGAGAGAAGCCACCACAUACUGCUGUGGUUUUCUACAUUCUUUUCUAUANUGGGUUCCCUACACUGUUCCACUUACCUCUGUGUUUAUCCUUCCAACAAUACCACAUAAUUUUGACUAUUAUGGCUAGAAAAUAAGUCUUGAAACAGGCAGAAUGGUUCCUCUCACUUUACUCUUUUAUUUCAAAAUUGUUUUAGCUAUCUUGGUUCUUUUGUUUUCCAUAUUUACUUUGGAAUCAACAUGUCUAUAUCUAUAAAAAUUUUGGCUGUAAUUUUAGUAGAAACUGCAUUAAGCCUGUAUGAUAAUUUGAGAAGAACUGAUAUCAUAACUGUGUUGGAGUUUCCAAUCCAUGAACAUGGUAUGUCUCUCCAUUUAUUUAGAUACACUUCGAUUUCUUUCACCAGGAUUUUGCAUUUUUCAGCAUAAAGUCCUAUAACUGUCUUGUUAGAUUUAUACCUACACUUGUUUAUUUUUCAGGAAGUAUAAUGAAUUUUUAAUUUUAGUGUCCACAUGUUCAUUAACAGUAUGUGAAAUCAAUUUUUGUGUGUUUAUUUUGUAUUGUGCAAUCUUGCUGAACUCGCUUAAUAGUUCUAGAUUUGGGGGAACUGUUUUGCUUUUGUAGAUUCUUUGGGAUUUUCUACAUAGAUAAACAUGUCAUCUGCAGAUGCAAACAACUUUGCUGCUGCUGCUGCUAAGUCGCUUCAGUCGCGUCCGACUCUGUGUGAC
RNAcentral lists this long non-coding RNA (1073 nucleotides) under Capra hircus (goat). RNAcentral describes it as "lncRNA (ENSCHIG00010008603.1)". The record is from RNAcentral. Lineage: Eukaryota; Metazoa; Chordata; Mammalia; Artiodactyla; Bovidae.